Molecule: ribosomal RNA, 546 nt
Filed under: uncultured bacterium
Lineage: Bacteria
Description: bacterial SSU rRNA
Rfam family: Bacterial small subunit ribosomal RNA
Source: RNAcentral
AAUAGAUACCCGGGUAGUCCACCCCGUAAACGUUGGGAACUAGUUGUGGGGUCCUUUCCACGGAUUCCGUGACGCAGCUAACGCAUUAAGUUCCCCGCCUGGGGAGUACGGCCGCAAGGCUAAAACUCAAAGGAAUUGACGGGGACCCGCACAAGCGGCGGAGCAUGCGGAUUAAUUCGAUGCAACGCGAAGAACCUUACCAAGGCUUGACAUACACGAGAACACUCUGGAAACAGGGGACUCUUUGGACACUCGUGAACAGGUGGUGCAUGGUUGUCGUCAGCUCGUGUCGUGAGAUGUUGGGUUAAGUCCCGCAACGAGCGCAACCCUCGUUCUAUGUUGCCAGCACGUUAUGGUGGGAACUCAUGGGAUACUGCCGGGGUCAACUCGGAGGAAGGUGGGGAUGACGUCAAAUCAUCAUGCCCCUUAUGUCUUGGGCUUCACGCAUGCUACAAUGGCCGGUACAAAGGGCUGCAAUACCGUGAGGUGGAGCGAAUACCCAAAAAGCCGGUCCCAGUUCGGAUUGAGGUCUGCAACUCGACCUCA